GUCCACGCCAUAAACGAUGACAACUAGAUGUUGGGAGGAUUAGCCUCUCGGUGUCGUAGCUAACGCGUUAAGUUGUCCGCCUGGGGAGUACGGCCGCAAGGUUGAAACUCAAAGGAAUUGACGGGGACCCCGCACAAGCGGUGGAGCAUGUGGUUUAAUUCGAUGCAACGCGAAGAACCUUACCUGGCCUUGACAUCUGUCGAAUCCUGCAGAGAUGUGGGAGUGCCUUCGGGAACGAUAAGACAGGUGCUGCAUGGCUGUCGU
This 264-nucleotide ribosomal RNA is filed under the name uncultured bacterium. Its description in RNAcentral is "partial 16S ribosomal RNA". It matches the Rfam family "Bacterial small subunit ribosomal RNA", at positions 793 to 1055 of the family's 1533-position model. The record is from RNAcentral.